AUUCAUUUAGUAUAAAAGUAUAUUUGACUUCCAAUCAAAAGGUCUAAAAGUAAGAAUGAAUA
This 62-nucleotide transfer RNA is filed under the name Mezira sp. RNAcentral describes it as "tRNA-Gly". The record is from RNAcentral. Lineage: Eukaryota; Metazoa; Arthropoda; Insecta; Hemiptera; Aradidae.